GCUCGGCCGUUGACUCCAUCCAGAUGUGCGGUGGCUCCAGAGUGGCUGCCGCGCGCAGUAAAUGGGCAUCGGAGGCUCGUCAAUCUGGGCCAGAGCAAUUGCGGUCUCGCGGGCGGCUCCACUGGCACGCGGAAACAUUCCGGAAUCAAGAACUUGUAACAUCAUAAACUGAAAUGAAUCUGGGUGAACCUUGCAGUCCUUCUGCAGUAACUUUACUGACCCUGUUCAGAACUUGAAGCCUCCCAAUCUUUGAGCUGUGAGUUGUGCUUCAAACAGCUCCCAGCUCUGCUGUGUUGUCCGUCCCCACCAGGCCUUGGGGAAGCAUGGCCAGCCACACCAUGUGCAGCAGCAGAGACAAGUGGCCACCAAAGUGUCCAAAACAGCUGAGAUCAAAACAAGCUGCAAAUCAGCCCCAACAUGCACUGCUUAGAAUUUGAUUAUACAAAAAGGCUCACAUGAGAAAUAGAAACUUUAUAACGGUGCCUUGCAUGGUUUGAUAUUCUCAUGGUUAAGGAACCCUUGAGAGCCUGGAAAAGCAAGCACAAAUCUGCUCUGAGGACCACAUUCUUUCAAUCAAGACCACACCAGAUCACAGGAGAAAAUAAAAUCUCUCACAAGAGCAUCUCAUAAUCAAAAUUUUAUAACACACAAGAAAGUACUCAUUAAAAAUGAAUCAGCAGGUGUAGCUAAAUCCAAGAACCUGAAAUAAUGGAAUAAUAUUGUCAAGUAAGUUAUAGAUUAAAUAAUUGUCAAUUAUUAAAAAGAUGAAAGAAUAAGAUCCAUAUAGAAAUAUUUUAACAAGAUAUGUAUUAGAAUUCUUAGGGAAAAUAUAGUCAUUAAAAUUAAAAAUUCAUCAUUGAUUUGAAUACCAUAUUAGACAUAGGUAAAGAAAGAAUUAGUGAACCAGAAUGUAUAUCUGAAGAAGUCAUCCGGAAUCUAAAGAUAAAGAGAGAUAAAAGAAGAUACCAUACAAGUUGCACUGACAGACAUGAGAUGGAGUACAGAGCCCCAACACACUUCUGGGCUGAUUUGCUAGUGGUAUGUACACUUUUCAUUCUGCUGUCAUUACUCAAAGAUCUCUGAUUUGUUUGGGAUGAUAAUAUGCCCGGCUAGAGAAAAAUAUAUCCCCCAGCCCCUCCUCCUGUCUAAGCAAAGGGGUAACCAAAUGACCCAAUGAAAUAGAAGCAGAUGUUUCCAAGUGAAGUUCCUGAGGGUGCUCCUUAAAAGCUUAUCCUUUCUUCUGUCAUUUGUUUUCUAUGUGGACACUAGUAGUGUGCUAAAGGUGGAACGGUGAUCUUGAA
Artibeus jamaicensis (Jamaican fruit-eating bat) is the source of this 1301-nucleotide long non-coding RNA. RefSeq lists it as uncharacterized. Lineage: Eukaryota; Metazoa; Chordata; Mammalia; Chiroptera; Phyllostomidae. The record is from RefSeq and is a predicted model, not a curated record. The transcript is spliced from 3 exons.